Molecule: ribosomal RNA, 443 nt
Filed under: uncultured bacterium
Lineage: Bacteria
Description: partial 16S ribosomal RNA
Rfam family: Bacterial small subunit ribosomal RNA
Source: RNAcentral
CCUACGGGUGGCAGCAGUGGGGAAUAUUGGGCAAUGGGCGCAAGCCUGACCCAGCAACGCCGCGUGAAGGAAGAAGGCUUUCGGGUUGUAAACUUCUUUUCUCCGGGCCGCAGAAAGUGACGGUACCUGAGGAAUAAGCCACGGCUAACUACGUGCCAGCAGGCGCGGUAAUACGUAGGGGGCAAGCGUGCUCCGGAUGUUCGGGGUGUAAAGGGCGUGUAGGCGGGGAAGCAAGUCAGAUGUGAAAACCACGGGCUCAACCUGUGGCCUGCAUUUGAAACUGUGUUUCUUGAGUACUGGAGAGGCAGACGGAAUGCCUAGUGUAGCGGUGAAAUGCGUAGAUAUUAGGAGGAACACCGGUGGCGAAGGCGGUCUGCUGGACAGCAACUGACGCUGAGGCGCGAAAGCGUGGGGAGCAAACAGGAUUAGAUACCCCAGUAGUC